Molecule: long non-coding RNA, 239 nt
Organism: Anoplophora glabripennis (Asian longhorned beetle)
Lineage: Eukaryota; Metazoa; Arthropoda; Insecta; Coleoptera; Cerambycidae
Exons: 2
Source: RefSeq, a predicted model, not a curated record
AAGAAAUACAAGGAAAUACAGCAUCGAUUGCCAAAACAUAUAAAGAGCCAAAUACAACAUCUGAAACAAAUUCAGGCUAAACGACUAAACUUCUGAGACAUGCAUGUAUGAAGACUCAAAAUAAGACUAUUAAACUAAUCAAUGACAACCGAAAUUGAAGCCACUUGGCCACUACCCUAGAUUUAUGAUUUUAAUUAAAUAAUGUAAUGAAUAUUUUUACAAAAUUAAUAAAUAAAAAA